UCGCCAUGAUGGAAUUUCUAGAUCUUAAAUCUUCCACAUUUGAGAUCUUUUAGCUGGGCCUUUCCAUCUGUUUCACUAGGUGGAGGGCGUUCUGGAGAAUUGAUACUGGGCAAGCUUGACCAGUGUCACUGGUCCACCUUUUUCAAUUCCUAUCCUCAUCUAGAAUGGGGUUCUCCGAGAAUUGGAGAAGGCGACCAUUUCCUCUGUUUUGCACACUAUUAAUUUUUAUAUCAAGAGAAUUUGCUACGCUUGGUGGCUUUGCUUGAACAGACAAAAAGAAAAGAAAAAAAAAAAUAUACCGCUAUCAUGAUACAAGUCAGUAAGCACUCCACGCCUUAAAUGGAUGUACCUUGAGUUCCUGCCGAAGAACUUUCUCAGAUUUACUAGUCUCUCGUUCCAAAAGUAUAUGGAUAACACCUGGUGAGUAUCCAAACAUCUCUGUUGCCCCCAAUGCGUGGCUACCUCCCGUCGCCUCUCCACUUUCCAGAUCAUUUCUGGCAAAACCCAUGAUCAAUAAUAUUUAAUCGUGUUGAAAUUGAUGCUCGUCCGGCCAAUAGUCUUCCCCUGGCUGGCAGCUUCAAACUUCAGCACUCCAUCCUGGGCGCCAAAGAUGACUUUCAGCGUGUACUCAAGGAGAUAUACUCGCCGCCCAUAUAGAUAUUUUGAUGGGAACUUGUUCAAGUCGGCAUUGGAAAAGUUAACCUCAAUGUCACCAACGACAUAACAAUCUGCAGUGCGGUUAGAUUUAAGUCAAUUGCCCCAAGGUACAUGGCAGAGACAAACCUGGAUUUUUCCGCUCCGGAGCAUCCGUCAGGUCACAAGCAUAUAGGGUGUCGAGAUACUUCAGGCUUCUGAACUCAUAGUGCAUGCAGGCCACAUGAGCCAUAUAUGUAUAGUUCUCUGUAUAUUUCUCGCCCUGUUUGAUGAGAGUUAUUGGGAAAGUCUCUAAAGAGAGCAGAAAUGGAGCCACGCUGCCGUGAAUCACCUUGCAAAUCAUCCAUUUCAUAAUUCCGUCAACUCUCUUUCCACCUGUAAACCAAUCGAUAUAAGCUUUCGAUUCAGCAUCUAUGCCAUCUCGGAACGGGAUACUGCGAAGAAAGCCGUAAUGUCGGCGGCACUUCUUUGUCGUGGACCGGAUUCCUUCAAGUCCGCGGAGAGCGGCUCCUUGGACAAUAGUCGCUUGAGGUUUAUCAGGAACGGUAACAGCAAUGUCCAU
RNAcentral lists this small RNA (1216 nucleotides) under Histoplasma capsulatum var. duboisii H88. RNAcentral describes it as "Histoplasma capsulatum H88 hypothetical RNA". Lineage: Eukaryota; Fungi; Ascomycota; Eurotiomycetes; Onygenales; Ajellomycetaceae. The record is from RNAcentral.